RNAcentral lists this microRNA (22 nucleotides) under Ixodes ricinus (castor bean tick). RNAcentral's name for it is "iri-miR-X1h-5p". The record is from RNAcentral. Lineage: Eukaryota; Metazoa; Arthropoda; Arachnida; Ixodida; Ixodidae.
GCUGUUAGUUUGUAGGGUGGUG